GACUUGAGUACUACAGGGGAGACUGGAAUUUCUGGUGUAGCGGUGGAAUGCACAGAUAUCAGGAAGAACACCGAUGGCGAAGGCAGGUCUCUGGGUAGUAACUGACGCUGAGGAGCGAAAGCAUGGGUAGCGAACAGGAUUAGAUACCCUGGUAGUCCAUGCCGUAAACGGUGGGCGCUAGGUGUGGGGUUCCUUCCACGGGCUCCGUGCCGUAGCUAACGCAUUAAGCGCCCCGCCUGGGGAGUACGGCCGCAAGGCUAAAACUCAAAGAAAUUGACGGGGGCCCGCACAAGCGGCGGAGCAUGUGGAUUAAUUCGAUGCAACGCGAAGAACCUUACCUGGGCUUGACAUAUAGAGGAUCGCUGCAGAGAUGUGGUUUCCCUUGUGGCUUCUAUACAGGUGGUGCAUGGUUGUCGUCAGCUCGUGUCGUGAGAUGUUGGGUUAAGUCCCGCAACGAGCGCAACCCUUGUCUUAUGUUGCCAGCACGUUAUGGUGGGGACUCGUGAGAGACUGCCGGGGUCAACUCGGAGGAAGGUGGGGAUGACGUCAAAUCAUCAUGCCCCUUAUGUCCAGGGCUUCACACAUGCUACAAUGGCCGGUACAGAGGGCUGCGAUGCUGUAAAGCGGAGCGAAUCUCUUAAAGCCGGUCUCAGUUCGGAUUGGGGUCUGCAACUCGACCCCAUGAAGUCGGAGUCGCUAGUAAUCGCAGAUCAGCAACGCUGCGGUGAAUACGUUCCCGGGCCUUGUACACACCGCCCGUCAAGUCAUGAAAGUCGGUAACACCCGAAGCCGGUGGCCUAACCCUUGUGGAGGGAGCCGUCGAAGGUGGGAUUGGCGAUUGGGACGAAGUCGUAACAAGGUAGCCGUACCGGAAGGUGCGGCUG
RNAcentral lists this ribosomal RNA (884 nucleotides) under human gut metagenome. RNAcentral's name for it is "bacterial SSU rRNA". It matches the Rfam family "Bacterial small subunit ribosomal RNA", at positions 639 to 1520 of the family's 1533-position model. The record is from RNAcentral.